This 274-nucleotide ribosomal RNA is filed under the name uncultured bacterium. RNAcentral's name for it is "partial 16S ribosomal RNA". It matches the Rfam family "Bacterial small subunit ribosomal RNA", at positions 523 to 796 of the family's 1533-position model. The record is from RNAcentral.
AUACGGGGGGGGCGAGCGUUAUUCGGAAUUAUUGGGCGUAAAGGGCGCGUAGGCGGCCUGUCAAGUCAAAGGUGAAAUCCCUCGGCUCAACCGAGGAACUGCCUUUGAUACUGUCAGGCUUGAGGCCGGGAGGGGGUGGCGGAAUUCCCAGUGUAGCGGUGAAAUGCGUAGAUAUUGGGAGGAACACCGGUGGCGAAGGCGGCCACCUGGACCGGUUCUGACGCUGAAGUGCGAAAGCGUGGGGAGCAAACAGGAUUAGAAACCCCGGUAGUCC